Molecule: unclassified non-coding RNA, 347 nt
Filed under: soil metagenome
Description: partial contains 5.8S ribosomal RNA, internal transcribed spacer 2, and large subunit ribosomal RNA
Rfam family: 5.8S ribosomal RNA (bases 1-120)
Source: RNAcentral
GAUGAAGAACGCAGCGAAAUGCGAUAAGUAAUGUGAAUUGCAGAAUUCAGUGAAUCAUCGAAUCUUUGAACGCACAUUGCGCCCAUCAGUAUUCUGUUGGGCAUGCCUGUCCGAGCGUCAUUUCAACCCUCAGGGCCCGUUCGCGGGAACUGGUGUUGGGGAUCGGCCUCCCCCCGGAGGCCGGCCCCGAAAUGCAGUGGCGGCUCUACCGCGAUCUCCUCUGUGUAGUAGCGAUACCUCGCAGCUGGAUAGUGGUGGUGCCACGCCGUAAAAUCCCAACUUUACCAAGGUUGACCUCGGAUCAGGUAGGAAUACCCGCUGAACUUAAGCAUACAAUAAGCGGAGGA